Molecule: long non-coding RNA, 501 nt
Organism: Notothenia coriiceps (black rockcod)
Lineage: Eukaryota; Metazoa; Chordata; Actinopteri; Perciformes; Nototheniidae
Exons: 4
Source: RefSeq, a predicted model, not a curated record
AAGAGUUACAAUAAGCUAGCCUUGAAGUAACAAAUGCAUGGACUAGUUUCUCUGCAUCGUUUUGAGGCAAGCACACAACUACAAUCAUAACAUCAUUAGAAAAUGAAAUGAUUUCAUGAUUUUUAUGACUGUGAUAUUUUGUUUUCUUUGAUAAAUGCGGAGUUUAAGCGUAUAACAACCCUGCCCCUCCAAUCAAGAUUUCUCUCUCAGCUGGAUGUGCUAUCUGACAAACUUCUGAAGGUUUUUGAGAAGAGAGGAGGACAGAUGGACCAGCGUCUGAACUGUAUUAUGUCAAACAUGACUCAAGUUGAUGAUGUCGAUUUAGGGCGGGAUUGUCUUCUCAAGGGGCUGUGUGUGUACCUCAAUGAGAGAGUUUGUGGCAGAAGAUGAAGACGUCAUUCUGCGGUCCAUUCAGGGGAUUACAGUGGGACUUUAUGUUGUCAAACACAAUUCCACCAUGAGACCAGAGGACAGAUGAGACCAGAGGACAGAUGAGACCAG